ACAAAAAAGAAGAGAAAAAUGGAGAAUUCU
This 30-nucleotide small RNA is filed under the name Arabidopsis thaliana (thale cress). RNAcentral describes it as "ATSL298160". The record is from RNAcentral. Lineage: Eukaryota; Viridiplantae; Streptophyta; Magnoliopsida; Brassicales; Brassicaceae.